This 799-nucleotide long non-coding RNA is filed under the name Homo sapiens (human). RNAcentral's name for it is "HSALNT0367995". Lineage: Eukaryota; Metazoa; Chordata; Mammalia; Primates; Hominidae. The record is from RNAcentral.
AGAGCUUCGAGGGUGAGUCAGGCGGGAGCACGGUGGCGCCUAACCCGUUCGCUGCCACUGGGUCUCCCUAAGGCGGUUUGCCUUUGCCUGUGCACCCCAAGACCAGGCUCUUUCCCGGCUGCCCUUGGGCUUGGCUCAAUUUUGGAUCCCAAGGCCCUCCUCAUCCCAUAAGAAGCAAGUCUACAGCUUGGAGCAGGAAUCCAGGCCACCCAAAGUGCAGACCGGGGGAAUCCCGAGAAGGGUAGGAUACCUCUGUUGGCAAGCAUCCCUGCCAGGCAAGGAAGCAUCGGGGCAGGCUGACAAUCUUUGGUGCUACUUGAACCUCUGCUAGGGCCAAACUCUGAGGCCAAAGCUGUCCCCUCCAAAGGGGCAGGCGCAGGGCUUGGAGGAGGGUGGGAACCAAGCUGCCCAGACGUGUGCUUCUCCUGCCCGCUCUGAGUACCCCGGGUGCGCUCAGGCUGUGGGUGCCACAUGUGACUGUCCCACACCGAGAAGCCCAAAGACUGUCUGGCUCCAUCCUCAUCUUGUCAAAGGCACCUUCCAGCCACCCUGAUCUUGGUGGAGAAACUGACGCAAAGAGGAGUGAUGAAAGAUGUGGCCAUCUGGGCCCCAUUCUGGCUCCCUAGGAAGGUUACUACACCCUCCCUGCAGCCUUGGCGACCCCAGAUCAGGUGAGAGGAACUCUGGCCACCUCCUUCUUCAGUGGGGCCAAGCCUGAACCCAGGCGUCGGGGGAGAGGGUGUGUGAGAGAGAGAGAGUGUGUGUGUGUGUGUGUGUGUGUGUGUGUGUGUGUGCGCGC